This 263-nucleotide ribosomal RNA is filed under the name uncultured Actinomyces sp. RNAcentral describes it as "partial 16S ribosomal RNA". It matches the Rfam family "Bacterial small subunit ribosomal RNA", at positions 268 to 529 of the family's 1533-position model. The record is from RNAcentral. Lineage: Bacteria; Bacillati; Actinomycetota; Actinomycetes; Actinomycetales; Actinomycetaceae.
CAAGGGCUGACGACGGGUAGCUCGGUCUGAGAGGAUGACCAGGCACACUGGAAACUGAGACACGGUCCAGACUCUACGGGUGGCAGCAGUGGGGAUUUUUCUCAAUGGGCGAAGCCUGAUGGAGCGACGCCGCGUGGGGGAUGAAGGCCUUCGGGUUGUAAACCCCUGUCAUUUGGGAACAAGCGCUAGUGACUAACCCUGCAGAAGAUGAUCGGGCCAAAUAAGGGACGGCCGGCUCACUCGGUGCCAGCAGCCGCGGCCGA